Molecule: microRNA precursor, 189 nt
Filed under: Malus domestica (apple)
Lineage: Eukaryota; Viridiplantae; Streptophyta; Magnoliopsida; Rosales; Rosaceae
Source: RNAcentral
AGUACAUUUUUGCGCAUCAUCAUUUAGUGUGGUGUAUGUUCACCAUCUUAUUUAUCAUCGUUAGAUGAAUUUUAAUUUUGAGAUUUAUUCCUAUCCAGUACACGAAUCUCGAAAUUGAAACUCAUCUAAUGAUGAUAAAUAGAAUGGUAAACAAACACCACACUAAAUGGUGAUGAGCAAAAAUGCUCC